AAAUGUUGGGUUAAGUCCCGCAACGAGCGCAACCCUUAUCCUUUGUUGCCAGCGAUUAGGUCGGGAACUCAAAGGAGACUGCCAGUGAUAAACUGGAGGAAGGUGGGGAUGACGUCAAGUCAUCAUGGCCCUUACGACCAGGGCUACACACGUGCUACAAUGGCGCAUACAAAGAGAAGCGACCUCGCGAGAGCAAGCGGACCUCAUAAAGUGCGUCGUAGUCCGGAUUGGAGUCUGCAACUCGACUCCAUGAAGUCGGAAUCGCUAGUAAUCGUGGAUCAGAAUGCCACGGUGAAUACGUUCCCGGGCCUUGUACACACCGCCCGUCACACCAUGGGAGUGGGUUGCAAAAGAAGUAGGUAGCUUAACCUUCGGGAGGGCGCUUACCACUUUGUGAUUCAUGACUGGGGUGAAGUCGUAACAAGGUAACCGUAGGGGAACCUGCGGUUGGA
This 452-nucleotide ribosomal RNA is filed under the name Salmonella enterica subsp. enterica serovar Newport. Its description in RNAcentral is "bacterial SSU rRNA". It matches the Rfam family "Bacterial small subunit ribosomal RNA", at positions 1070 to 1522 of the family's 1533-position model. The record is from RNAcentral. Lineage: Bacteria; Pseudomonadati; Pseudomonadota; Gammaproteobacteria; Enterobacterales; Enterobacteriaceae.